UGCAGAGAGUUUUCUGUGCUCCUCACCCAGCUUCCUCUAUGUUCACACCUUAUAUAACCAUAGUACAAGUAGCAAACUGAGGAAGUGAAUGAGGAUAUGAGGCUAUUGGCUAAAUUACAGGCCACAUUAGAAUUUUGCCAAGUAUUCAAACUGUCUGUUUUCCGUUCCAGGAUCCAUUUCAGGAUCCCAUAUCAAGUUUAAUUGUCUUGUCUCAUUAAUUUCCUCCAAACUGUAGCCAUUCCUCACUUUUCUUGCCCUUCAUGUCCUUGACAAUUUUGAGGAGUACGAGUUGGUUAUUUCGUUGAAUGUCUUCGACCUGGGUUUAAUGUUCCUUUUAUUUUCCAGGGAGGAAUCUCCCAGUGUUUGUGCCAUGUUUUGAUCUGACUGAAAGCCAUAAACAUAGCCGAAGCCUGGGCCAUCCACAGAAGACCCAAUGUUCUCUUUUUCCAAGUGGGCAUUUUGUAUCUCUGAAGAGUUCUAGACUGAGCUACAUCAGUAGACCUCUGCAUUUAAAGGGAGCAAUUCUCAUCCGAGGAUCCUGAUUCUUCUACUGUAGUGCAAUUUCACUACUCUCUCCAAAUGUCUCCAAGCAAAUUCAAAGCAGCUGAAAAUAACUGCAUGCCUGAGAGGACCACGAAGCUUCAGGCCAGCCCUGUCCCGAAGUCUUGUGUGCUUCAUGUCGAGUGGUCUGCAGUGGACUGUGUCUGCUUGAAGCGAUGCUCCGGAGGGCUUAUUGUUGUGUGGGGUAAAGCAUGAGAUCACUGAAAAAUGAGAGAAAUCGAGCAUACGAAAUGUGAAGCAUAUCUGUUGACACCGUGCGCUCCCUUUGCUUGCACUGGAUGGUGCAUGGUUUCCAUGCGCAGUGCCUGAGGUGUGGGGCAGGCGAGGCCCAUGCAGCCUGGCUCCUUUCCAGAAGGUUGCUGUUCAUUACAGCUCGAGUGUGCUGGGUUCUGCAGAUAUUAUCUAUUUUAAAUUAACGCUCCGUAAAAGGAUUUAAAGUUUUCUGAAAAGAAACCAAUGAAUGAAGCUAAUAGUAAUAAUGCAAACACAAGCAAGCUGCCAAGUAAGCCAUUUUUCUAUUACGGAGCUCUUCAUCAGUCAUAUUAUUAAAGAAAAAACAACAAUACUAGUAAUAAUGAUCACCUAUUCAAGACCAAGAGUUUGAUCCUCCAAAAUUCAAACAAGGAAAAAUCUCUCCCAAUCUCUCCUUUCCUCCAUCCCUUUUCUUUACUUCUCAUCCCAUAUAUAAUAUUAUAUAAUGCAUACAUAAUAAAAGACAUUCACUAUUAUUAGCAAUGAUUCCUUAUCUGUAUAUUGUGCCUUAAGAUAUAUUAGCAAAUGGUAUGCAUAUUUAGAAGACUUAUUUUUAAAAAUAAUAUAUAUGUUGGGGUAAAGGGUCAACCCUUUAUUCAUUGACAAGUGAGGUUAUCAAAGAAGUCUGGACUCAUUUUUGCUCUUCCAAGUCUAAAUAUAAAUUUUGGUUUAUAAAGGAUUUCAUAUGGUUCCCAACAGCACAUUGUAAAAAUUCAACUCUCUGCCUUACUAGUUAUUGAAGUCAUCUUACAGAUGGCCACAAUAAGUCCCUUCUUAUUUAUUUUUGCCAAUAUAAUUUGUAGGGUAGAUGUAUGUAGUUUGCUUGAUUCUGACCGGAAAUCUGUUCUGUUUCCUGCUUGACUGAAAUUUGGGGCAAUGGAGGCAGCAGAAAUAUGCAAAUAUAAACCUGAGUUACACAAUGGGCUUUGGUUCAGUGGAUGAAUAUUAUUUAAUUUUCCAAUGUCAUUGUAAGAAAUUGAGAGAUGAACUUGAACUUUUAAAACUUUGUGGACAAAAUAUCAUCAAUAUUAAGGGAACAAGUUUCUUAAACUUUAGAAGGAAAUCAAUUCUAAUGUGUAGUUAACCAGAUUGUUCAUUGUUGGGUUUAUCAUUAACUUGGUCUUUACCUCAUUAACUUCCCUCUGUCUUAUUAUUUAUUAUGCUGCGUCUAUUUUCUCUGUAAUCAAGUGUAACUGUAGCAUUGGGGAGAGCAUUAGAUUUUCUAUAGAUUUGGGUGUUUCAUGUGCAGCAGACCACGUGCUAUUUUUGCCUGAGCAGCUCCUGUUCACCUUUGUUCUGGAAACAGAACUCUCCUUUAAUUUUGGAAACUUCCCCUCCUAUUACUGAUAGGGCUGUCAAUCGCAUGUCCCCCAAGCCUCCAUCAAUGUGAUGGUCAGGGACUUGUGUGGGCCACAGACUCAAACCUGAACUUCUGCCGAAGAUAUCAAGAAGGAGAAGCCCUCUAUUUACUGAAGUCUCUGACUGUAAUAACUGAGUGAAUUGAUAUCUUCCAGCAGCCACUGUAGCACCACAAAAGGAAGGCUUGUCCAGGAAUUAAACCAACACAAGGAAAGCCCAGACAAAGAGGGAAGGAUGGGCUCAUGAUGUUUGAACCUCUGAUCUGUCUAUGCCUUGAGCCAGCCACACUGCAGGAUGCUGUUGCUCCAGCAAUUAAAUGUCUUAUUUUUGUUUAGGCUAGUUUGUGUCAGUGUGUGUCACUUAUUACUAAAAUGUUCCUGAGUUAGACAACACUGUGGAGGGAAAAUCAUAUGAACUUAAUGAUUUGACCUAAAAAAUGGCAAUUUCUUAGGAUUCAAACCAAUAUAAUAAAAAAUGCAGGUGGUCAGAUGACUCAAGAACCAUUGCUUUGUGUUCUUGGCCUCUUUGAGCUUCAGUUUCCUCAUAUUGAAAGGAGAGAGAUAACUGUCUACCCACGCAUCGGUUCACACACAGAAACGGGAAAUGCAGGAUCAGGUAAAGCAUAGAAAAACCUUUGUAGACUAUCUGGCUCAAUAAAAUGUUACCUAUUGUUACACAUUGGAAGAUUUGAUUCCUUGAGAUAUAUUACAGUGUAUAGAGUGAGCUAACUGGUCAUGCUUAGGAAAAAUUUUGGAAUUGGUGCACAUGUGAGGCUGUGAGGACGUCAAAAUUUGACUGCAGAUGUUAUAAAGUCCUGUGUUUUGGCAGAUAAUCAUCUCCCCAUUUAGAAUUCACAGGACUCAUCUGGCAUCCGGUGGAGUUGGUAGGAGCUGAUUAAUGCCUGGCUUCUAGUGGAGAUGAUGAGAACUGGUCAAUGUAAGUUACGUUAGGAUGGCAUUGUGGACGUCAGAAACCCAAAAGAGGACAGAAACCCAAGCCUAAACAAAAAUAGGACAUUUAAUUGCUGGAGCAAC
This is a long non-coding RNA of Pan paniscus (pygmy chimpanzee), 3206 nucleotides long. Lineage: Eukaryota; Metazoa; Chordata; Mammalia; Primates; Hominidae. The record is from Ensembl.